AGAUUGAACGCUGGCGGCAUGCCUUACACAUGCAAGUCGAACGGCAGCACGGGAGCAAUCCUGGUGGCGAGUGGCGAACGGGUGAGUAAUAUAUCGGAACGUGCCCAGUCGUGGGGGAUAACGUAGAGAAAUUUACGCUAAUACCGCAUACGAUCCAAGGAUGAAAGCGGGGGACCGUAAGGCCUCGCGCGACU
Molecule: ribosomal RNA, 194 nt
Filed under: uncultured soil bacterium
Lineage: Bacteria
Description: partial 16S ribosomal RNA
Rfam family: Bacterial small subunit ribosomal RNA
Source: RNAcentral